RNAcentral lists this ribosomal RNA (400 nucleotides) under uncultured bacterium. Its description in RNAcentral is "bacterial SSU rRNA". It matches the Rfam family "Bacterial small subunit ribosomal RNA", at positions 121 to 507 of the family's 1533-position model. The record is from RNAcentral.
GCAACCUGCCUGUAAGACUGGGAUAACUUCGGGAAACCGAAGCUAAUACCGGAUAGGAUCUUCUCCUUCAUGGGAGAUGAUUGAAAGAUGGUUUCGGCUAUCACUUACAGAUGGGCCCGCGGUGCAUUAGCUAGUUGGUGAGGUAACGGCUCACCAAGGCAACGAUGCAUAGCCGACCUGAGAGGGUGAUCGGCCACACUGGGACUGAGACACGGCCCAGACUCCUACGGGAGGCAGCAGUAGGGAAUCUUCCGCAAUGGACGAAAGUCUGACGGAGCAACGCCGCGUGAGUGAUGAAGGCUUUCGGGUCGUAAAACUCUGUUGUUAGGGAAGAACAAGUACAAGAGUAACUGCUUGUACCUUGACGGUACCUAACCAGAAAGCCACGGCUAACUACGUG